This 341-nucleotide ribosomal RNA is filed under the name uncultured bacterium. RNAcentral describes it as "bacterial SSU rRNA". It matches the Rfam family "Bacterial small subunit ribosomal RNA", at positions 1166 to 1505 of the family's 1533-position model. The record is from RNAcentral.
GAGGAAGGUGGGGAUGACGUCAAGUCAUCGUGGCCCUUAUGGGCAGGGCUACACACGUGCUACAAUGGCCAGUACAAAGGGUUGCCAACCCGCGAGGGGGAGCUAAUCCCAAAAAGCUGGUCGUAGUCCGGAUUGGAGUCUGCAACUCGACUCCAUGAAGUCGGAAUCGCUAGUAAUCGCAGAUCAGCAUUGCUGCGGUGAAUACGUUCCCGGGCCUUGUACACACCGCCCGUCACACCAUGGGAGUGGGCUGCACCAGAAGCCGGUAGUCUAACCUUCGGGAGGGCGCCGUCCACGGUGUGGUCGAUGACUGGGGUGAAGUCGUAACAAGGUAGCCGUAA